UACGUAGGGUGCAAGCGUUGUCCGGAAUUAUUGGGCGUAAAGAGCUCGUAGGCGGUUUGUCGCGUCUGCUGUGAAAACUCGGGGCUUAACCCCGGGCCUGCAGUGGGUACGGGCAGACUAGAGUGCGGUAGGGGAGACUGGAAUUCCUGGUGUAGCGGUGAAAUGCGCAGAUAUCAGGAGGAACACCGGUGGCGAAGGCGGGUCUCUGGGCCGUAACUGACGCUGAGGCGCGAAAGCAUGGGGAGCGAACGGG
This 253-nucleotide ribosomal RNA is filed under the name uncultured bacterium. RNAcentral's name for it is "partial 16S ribosomal RNA". It matches the Rfam family "Bacterial small subunit ribosomal RNA", at positions 524 to 776 of the family's 1533-position model. The record is from RNAcentral.